UGGAGGACUGAGAAGGUUGAGCAGCUUGUGCUGUUAUAACUGGUUAUAACCUCCAAGAGUAACCCACAAACC
Gasterosteus aculeatus aculeatus (three-spined stickleback) is the source of this 72-nucleotide small nucleolar RNA. Lineage: Eukaryota; Metazoa; Chordata; Actinopteri; Perciformes; Gasterosteidae. The record is from Ensembl.